UCCCUGGUUGAUCCUGCCAGUAGUCAUAUGCUUGUCUCAAAGAUUAAGCCAUGCAUGUCUCAGUGCAAGCCGCAUUAAGGUGAAACCGCGAAAGGCUCAUUAAAUCAGUUGUGGUUCCUUAGAUCGUACCCAAGUUACUUGGAUAACUGUGGUAAUUCUAGAGCUAAUACAUGCCGACAGAGUUCCGACCGUCGCGGCGCCCUCGGGCGUCGCUCGCGGGAGGAACGCUUUUAUUAGAUCAAAACCGGCCCGUCGCGGCGCGCUUCGUGCGCGUCCCGAUCGCGGCCCGCGCAAAGACCUGGUGACUCUGAAUAACUUCGAGCUGAUCGCACGGUCUCCGUACCGGCGACGCAUCUUUCAAAUGUCUGCCUUAUCAACUGUCGAUGGUAGGUUCCAUGCCUACCAUGGUGGUAACGGGUAACGGGGAAUCAGGGUUCGAUAUCCGGAGAGGGAGCCUGAGAAACGGCUACCACAUCCAAGGAAGGCAGCAGGCGCGCAAAUUACCCACUCCCGGAACGGGGAGGUAGUGACGAAAAAUAACGAUACGGGACUCAUCCGAGGCCCCGUAAUCGGAAUGAGAACACUUUAAAACCUUUAAACGAGGAUCAAUUGGAGGGCAAGUCUGGUGCCAGCAGCCGCGGUAAUUCCAGCUCCAAUAGCGUAUAUUAAAGUUGUUGCGGUUAAAAAGCUCGUAGUCGGAUCUGUGUCUGGACGGUGCCGGACCACCCUGGCGGUCCGUCGUGUCGCGGCCGGCCGUGUCGCGGGACCACGUGUCCCGUCGGCGCGGUCGCCGUCGCGCUCGUCAGCCGUCUCGGGGUGUUAGUUACCGGCACGUCGGCCGGACGUAUUGUCGGCAGGCGGACACGUGUCUCGUGCUUCCGGCGCGCCGCGCGGCCACGCGUCGCGCGGCCGUCGGUGUUCGACGACGGCGGCCGCCUACUCCAAUCUUGCUGCGCGGUGCUCUUCACCGAGUGCCGUCGGCGGGCCGACACGUUUACUUUGAACAAAUUAGAGUGCUCAAAGCAGGCUCGAAUCUGGCGGGGCGGCUUCACGGCCGUCUCGUCAAAAGGCCCUGAAUACUGGUCGCAUGGAAUAAUGGAACAAGACCUCGGUCCCGCGCAUCUCCGCCCUUCGCGGGCGCGCGAAAUCGCCCUCCGGGGCGUUUCCGUGCGCGGGCCGCCGGGCCGCGGGCGCCAGUCGCCCGCGCGUCCCGCCGGGCCGGUUUUCGGGACCGGAGGUAAUGAUCAACAGAGACGGGCGGGGGCAUUCGUACCGAGACGUUAGAGGUGAAAUUCUUGGAUCGUCUCGAGACGAACUGACGCGAAAGCAUUUGCCAAGUACGUUCUCGUAUGAUC
Non-coding RNA from Acyrthosiphon pisum (pea aphid), 1355 nucleotides. NCBI's taxonomy places the organism in Eukaryota, Metazoa, Arthropoda, Insecta, Hemiptera, Aphididae. The record is from Rfam.